CAAGUCGAGCGGCAGCACAAGGGAGUUUACUCCUGAGGUGGCGAGCGGCGGACGGGUGAGUAAUGCCUAGGGAUCUGCCCAGUCGAGGGGGAUAACAGUUGGAAACGACUGCUAAUACCGCAUACGCCCUACGGGGGAAAGGAGGGGACUUUCGGGCCUUCCGCGAUUGGAUGAACCUAGGUGGGAUUAGCUAGUUGGUGAGGUAAUGGCUCACCAAGGCGACGAUCCCUAGCUGUUCUGAGAGGAUGAUCAGCCACACUGGGACUGAGACACGGCCCAGACUCCUACGGGAGGCAGCAGUGGGGAAUAUUGCACAAUGGGGGAAACCCUGAUGCAGCCAUGCCGCGUGUGUGAAGAAGGCCUUCGGGUUGUAAAGCACUUUCAGUAGGGAGGAAAGGUUGUGUCUUAAUACGUUGCAUCUGUGACGUUACCUACAGAAGAAGGACCGGCUAACUCCGUGCAGC
This 464-nucleotide ribosomal RNA is filed under the name bacterium 2311-S3-01-1.2. RNAcentral's name for it is "bacterial SSU rRNA". It matches the Rfam family "Bacterial small subunit ribosomal RNA", at positions 58 to 512 of the family's 1533-position model. The record is from RNAcentral.